ACAAGCGUAAGGUAUGGUUGGCCUUGUUUAUGCUUCUAUGCUGUAUAAGAUAUGGCUUGCCCAGGUCGUUCGAUUCUUUCUCUUUUGUGUGUAAGUAAAGCUGCAAUGCCACCGGAGGUUCUGGGAUCGAAACAUUUCGGUUGAUAUACAUGUAUAUACUAGAUUCUAGAGGUGCACGAUAAGGUUCUUAUGAUGAAAAACCCUAAAUCAGUGAGUUGAUCUGCCAGCAGUAUGCUCCCAAUGC
This 244-nucleotide long non-coding RNA is filed under the name Oryza brachyantha (malo sina). Its description in RNAcentral is "long non-coding RNA (OBRA_LNC003270)". The record is from RNAcentral. Lineage: Eukaryota; Viridiplantae; Streptophyta; Magnoliopsida; Poales; Poaceae.